CGUGUUUACUCGUCAAUGGCGUCGUCGUCGUGUCACAGCUACUUUAGUGUCACUCCAUUUCUCAUCUCCGAGACGAACUUCUCUUCUCGUGAAUCGACGAUCCUUCUCCGUCUCUGCGACUAUGGCUUCACAUUCUAAGAAGGUUUUGAUUCCCGUUGCGCACGGUACGGAGCCGUUCGAAGCGGUGGUGAUGAUCGAUGUGCUGCGGCGAGGCGGCGCGGAUGUAACGGUGGCCUCCGUGGAGAAUCAGGUUGGCGUCGAUGCGUGCCAUGGGAUCAAGAUGGUGGCGGAUACUCUUCUCUCUGAUAUCACCGACUCCGUUUUCGACCUUAUCAUGCUCCCUGGAGGACUACCUGGGGGAGAGACUCUUAAGAACUGUAAAGCUCUGGAGAAUAUGGUCAAGAAACAAGACGCAGAUGGACGGCUUAACGCUGCUAUCUGUUGUGCCCCGGCGUUGGCGCUUGGUACUUGGGGUCUGCUAGAGGGUAAAAAGGCGACAUGUUACCCAGUUUUUAUGGAGAAGCUAGGAGCAACAUGUGCAACAGCUGUUGAGUCGAGAGUGGAGAUAGAUGGGAGGAUAGUGACCAGUAGAGGGCCUGGAACUACUAUGGAGUUCUCUGUCGCCCUUGUGGAGCAAUUGUUUGGGAAAGAGAAAGCUGCUGAAGUCUCUGCUCCAUUGGUGAUGCGUCCCAACCCUGGUGAUGAGUACACUAUUACUGAGCUUAACCAAAUAAAGUGGUCGUAUGAGAAUACCCCACAGAUUCUUGUGCCCAUUGCAGAUGGCUCUGAGGAAAUGGAAGCUGUUGCAAUCAUUGAUGUUCUGAGACGGGCAAAAGCAAAUGUUGUCGUUGCUGCGCUUGGUAACAGUUUGGAAGUGGUAGCAUCUCGUAAAGUCAAGCUAGUGGCAGAUGUGCUUCUCAAUGAGGCUGAAAAGAAUUCAUACGAUCUGAUUGUGUUGCCUGGUGGUCUCGGUGGUGCUGAAGCAUUUGCAAGUUCGGAGAAGCUAGUGAAUAUGUUAAAGAAGCAGGCGGAAUCAAACAAACCAUAUGGAGCUGUUUGUGCAUCUCCUGCUCUGGUCUUCGAGCCACACGGUUUACUCAAGGGUAAGAAGGCGACAGCUUAUCCACCAAUGUGCAACAAAUUGUCGGACCAGAGUCACAUCGAGCAUAGAGUAUUGGUGGACGGUAAUCUCAUAACGAGCAGGGGCCCUGGAACAUCGUUGGAGUGUGCACUCGCAAUCGUGGAGAAGUUUUAUGGUCGCGAGAAAGGACUUCAGCUCUCAAAGGCAACUCUUGUGUAAACUCAGCCAAGUGAGUAUCUAAGGUUAGAGUGACUUUAAUAAGAAAAAGGCUUUAGUAUGAAGCUAUCGAUGCGUGGACCUUUAUUGUAAUGUGCUUUGCGCUGAGUGAUGCUUAAUCAUGUCUUAUAAAUAAAAAGAGGAGGCUACUCUGUUUUUAUCAGAAGUUUCUUUUGCUUCAGUGUUCUGUCAGUUGUCACUCUAGUUUGUGUAAGAAACUGAGAAUUAGUUUAAUGAAAUCUGCAUGAGUUAAAGUA
Brassica napus (rape) is the source of this 1554-nucleotide RNA transcript. It is a transcript of the gene named protein DJ-1 homolog B-like, with no coding region annotated. Lineage: Eukaryota; Viridiplantae; Streptophyta; Magnoliopsida; Brassicales; Brassicaceae. The record is from RefSeq and is a predicted model, not a curated record. The transcript has 8 exons.